AUUGACAAAAAGUAAUAGCUAUAGAGUCACGAAUGGGGGCGAGCUAAGCAAGAUAUGUUUUGUAUACCAAAUACGUUGUAUAGUAUUUAGAAAAUAUGUGUUUAGGAGUGAUAGGCCUUUCAAGCUCUCUGAUAACUUGAUUCAUAUGAAAGGUAUUAAGUACAUAAAUAUAUUUAAAAAGUUAAGCUUUUAAAUAUUUAUUAAAAAUAUUGUUUGAUUGAACAUAGUAUAAUAACUAGUUAUUAUUAAACUUAAUAUUACAACAUACGUUUUUAUAGUAAAUAAUAUGACAAUUAAGAUUAUCUUUACUAGUUGAAAAUGUUAAUAUUAGUAGUAUAAGUAAAUGUAUUAAAGGAACUCGGCAAAUAACUUCUCAACUGUUUAUCAAAAACAUAGCUAUAUGAAUUAAUAUAUAGUUAUUUCUGCUCCAUGAUUAUUAAAUAGCCGCAGUACUCUGACUGUGCAAAGGUAGCAUAAUCAGUUGGCUCUUAAUUAGGGUCUGGUAUGAAAGAAAAUAUGGGUAGUAACUGUCUUAAUACAUUUAUUUGAAAUUAGUAAGCAAGUGCAAAUACUUGCAUGCAUAAAAAAGACGAGAAGACCCUAGAAACUUGAAAUAAGUUUUGUUGGGGCGACAAAAUUACAUUUAACUAAUUUUAUAAGACAUGACACGAAGUUGAAAGAGUAAGUUACUCUAGGGAUAACAGCAUAAUUUUAAUAGUUUGUGACCUCGAUGUUGGACUAGGUAUUAUAUCUUUAAGGCAAAGUUAUAAAAGGCUCUGUUCGAGCGAAUACACCUACAUGAUCUGAGUUCAGACCGG
Molecule: ribosomal RNA, 818 nt
Filed under: Helix albescens
Lineage: Eukaryota; Metazoa; Mollusca; Gastropoda; Stylommatophora; Helicidae
Description: partial large subunit ribosomal RNA
Source: RNAcentral